This is a long non-coding RNA of Pan troglodytes (chimpanzee), 2837 nucleotides long. RefSeq lists it as uncharacterized. The transcript has 4 exons. NCBI's taxonomy places the organism in Eukaryota, Metazoa, Chordata, Mammalia, Primates, Hominidae. The record is from RefSeq and is a predicted model, not a curated record.
GGGCCCCGACGCACCUUCAGGAAAACCCGACGCCGGGCAGCUCGCGGGCGCCGGCUGUUUUCCUGCGAGACCCAGGCGGUCGGCGGCGACUUCCGGCGCCCUCGGCCGCAGCCCAGGAUCCCUUGCGCCCUGCGGUAGCCCGGGGCUGCCCAGGGCUGCGGGCUCCAGGCACCCAGAGCGCUGCGACCACAUGAAAGGCCCGGCGCUCAGCACCCGCCAGCCACCUCCAGCUGGUUUCUAACUACACCGCCGGGGCCUCCAUGCUUCUCAGGGACCAGCCUUCGAAGUGCCGCCUUACACCCGGGGCCUGGCCACCGGGCGGGCGCGGAUGGAGCUCUGGUCCACAUUUGGGAGCUCACAGUUGUUCCUGCCAGGAACCAGCCAGAACAGGAGGCAGCCAGGGAGAGGGGAGCCAGGGAGAACGCAGCCUCAGUCCUGGAAGGAGAGGGCCUGCUGGGAAGAACAGAACCCAGCUGUCUUGGCCCCAGAUGUGGAAGCCGAGACUUAAAGAAGCUAUGAAACUUGAUCAGGUCAUGCAGCGCCAGAGGACCCAAGGUGGGAUCUCAACCCAGACUGUUUGGCUCCAAAGCUGAACUGCUACAUUAUGUUGCUUCAGCAAACAGUCAUUCAGAACCUCAGCUACCGCCGUGACUUUGGGUGCAAACCUGUCUGAAGCCUGUUGGUGAAGCUCUGCCCAGCUAUGAAGAAGCACAGAUCUGCCUGCCUCCCUUGGAAGGCUCAGACUCUUUUUCUGGAAGGCCUACCUUCUCAUCCUUUGGCAGUUGGGGGAACUGAAGCACAGUGAGGGAGAUAAGCGUGCCAUACAAUGAGAGGACAGAGCUCAGCGCUCUUCACUCAUCUGCCUGUGGGAAAGAGCCAGUUCUAGGGGUGGGGAUCGUGAAGGAGCACCCUACUUCCCUGUCCUUGUCACAUCCCAUGGCCAGUAGCCAUGUACUUUUUCCUCCUUUUUCUCUUGCCCAGCAAAUACAGGCUCCAGCUGCAGCCACUUUGAAGAUAAAGUUUCCUCCAUAGAAAUUCUGCAAUACAGAUGUCCUUCCGCGGUCCCCGUUCAGUCCUGCACCAGUUCCUUUUCCCACUGGGAAAUUUCUUUCCUCUUCCUACUUCCAUGCAACUGCGAGGCAAGGCUCAAGCCCACUUCCUUCUCCUUUUCCUGUGUCUCCCUGUGGAAGGAGCUCCCUCUUCUUCACAGCUCCAGGCUCUUCCCUACUCUGGCCCAACCUUAUGGGUAUUUUGCUCCAUAACUCUCCUCAAUCUGAACUGCUUCUGAUUUCUCUCAAGUCAUGUCGGGGAAUCUCACAAAUGCAUUCUGAGAAAUACAAGAAUGCCUGAGAUGUUCCAGGCAGAAAAGAUUCCAGGAUCAAAACAUUUGGGAAAAGCUUCACAUCUCUCCUUAGAAAUGAACAAGGCAUAGUCAUCAAGCAUCUGAAAAGUCCUGCAGUCAGGAAACCUACCUUGUUUGUUUUUUAACCCAGUAUUUCCCAAACUAAGAUGGCCAUGAUUUCAUCUCCUCCAUCCCCACUGACUCCUAUAACAACAUGUAGAACCAGCGAUCCACUGUGGAACACACUUUGGGAAACACUGUCCCCAGCCCUCCAAGAAGGCAUAGAGUUGACCUUGCCUUCAUUGAUUUAAACCCUUCCUGUUUCUCUGGGCUAUUUACUUAUUAUCUCACAUACAAAAUAAUCUAAGGUGAUGUCUGCCCAAUUGGAUUUUUAGGAAAGACAUACCCGAUGGGAAUGAAGAUUUUCUUAGCAGGAUUUGAUGAGCCCAUUACUAGAAAAAAAAUCAAGGAUUUCCCAGACUUUCAGGGUGAGGAGAGAAUUUGAUACAAGCAGCAGAGGCUGGGCGUAGUGACCCAUGCCUAGCACUUUGGUAGGCCAAGGAGGGAGGAUUGCUUGAACCCAGGAAUCCAAGACAAGCCUGGGCAACAUAGUAAGAUCCCAUCUCAAUUUUUUAAAGAAGGAUUUAUCAAACUUGUUUCCUAGUCAAUGGAUAAAGCCAAAGAUGUAAUGGCCAGAAACCCAAAAUCUAGAGUUCAGUACCAGAUAAAUACUUUUUGGGUGAAUGAAUGAAUGAGCAGGCUAUUGAUCACAAAGUUGGCAGACAUUGUGAAUGAAUGGAUGAAUUAAUAAACAAUCAAAUAACUGGUGUCCAGGCCUCCAGACUUUCUGAACUUCAUUGUAUCUACCUGCUGUGGCCACAUAUAUAUCUCCUCAAAACCCAGAUCUCAUCAGUCCACUCUUCUGUUCCCUGGCUGGCUCCCUGUUGCCUUCAGGAUAAAGUCUACAUGCCUUUCUCCUGGCAUUGGAAACUCUGCAAAACAAAGCUCCAACCUAGCUUUCCAUCCUUCUUUCUCUUCCCCAUUGGGUACCCCUUACUCUAGUCACACCAGUCCCCAAUUCACUUUAUCUGUCUCCUUUUCUUUCUCAAGCUAUUCUCUAUACCUCACCUUUUCUCCCCUGCCUCCAUUGUUGCUUAUUCAACCCUAGCAGUGCUUUCAGGCUCAGCUCAAACCUUAUCACCCAUGUUAAAUGAAAGAAGCCAGAUACAAGAAGGGGACAUUCUGAAUGAUUCCAUUUAUAUGAAGGUUAAGAACAGGCAAAACUAUUGUGGGGAAAAAACAGAACUGUGGUUGCCUUUGGGGAGUGAGGAUUGAUUAGAAGGGGUUUUGGGGGUAUGAAAAUGUUCUUGAUCUUCAUUCCAGUGGUAAUUUCAUGAGUGAAUACAUUUGCCAAAAUUCACUGAAUUGUACACCAAAGAUCUGCAUUUCUCUGUAUUGUCAAUUUAAUCUAAAAAUAAAAAUCUUACCACCCAGA